AUUGAACGCUGGCGGCAGGCCUAACACAUGCAAGUCGAACGGUAACAGGAAGCAGCUUGCUGCUUCGCUGACGAGUGGCGGACGGGUGAGUAAUGUCUGGGAAGCUGCCUGAUGGAGGGGGAUAACUACUGGAAACGGUAGCUAAUACCGCAUAAUGUCGCAAGACCAAAGAGGGGGACCUUCGGGCCUCUUGCCAUCGGAUGUGCCCAGAUGGGAUUAGCUUGUUGGUGGGGUAACGGCUCACCAAGGCGACGAUCCCUAGCUGGUCUGAGAGGAUGACCAGCCACACUGGAACUGAGACACGGUCCAGACUCCUACGGGAGGCAGCAGUGGGGAAUAUUGCACAAUGGGCGCAAGCCUGAUGCAGCCAUGCCGCGUGUAUGAAGAAGGCCUUCAGGUUGUAAAGUACUUUCAGCGGGGAGGAAGGGAGUAAAGUUAAUACCUUGGCUCAUUGACGUUACCCGCAGAAGAAGCACCGGCUAACUCCGUG
Molecule: ribosomal RNA, 490 nt
Filed under: uncultured bacterium
Lineage: Bacteria
Description: partial 16S ribosomal RNA
Rfam family: Bacterial small subunit ribosomal RNA
Source: RNAcentral